RNAcentral lists this long non-coding RNA (295 nucleotides) under Sus scrofa (pig). RNAcentral describes it as "lncRNA (ENSSSCG00065034401.1)". Lineage: Eukaryota; Metazoa; Chordata; Mammalia; Artiodactyla; Suidae. The record is from RNAcentral.
AUGUCAUCUCAUUACACGCCUGGGACGUAUGACAGACAUGCUGCUCUCCGCAUUGUGCUCCCGCCGGCAGAUGCCCUGAAUGUCCCGCGCCCAAGUGGCGGUCUAGGAGAGCAAGCGGGGGCUUUAAUUACCUCCUGGGACUUUUCAAAAAUGCCUCAUCCCAAGGAACGCCCCAAGGGUCUAGAACUGCCCAUCCCAGGUCAACUGGGAAGAAGGAAAGACAAGAAAAGAACGUACAACCUGCAAAUAAUAGAGUAAGUGGAAAUAUGAAAUAAAUACUGAUGCGCCUGCCCCA